CAGGGGGAUUAUGGACCGAAGAGAAGCCCCAUUUAGAGAAGUAGGCACCUUCCACCCGAUCUUCUUGACUUUGUUGACCAACUUUUGACUUAUCAAUUAUUGGCUCCAAUAGUGUACCAACUUUUGGAGAUGAAACAACUUCAAAAUCAGGCAUUUCUUCAUCAACUUCAUGGAUUAAACUCUUCCUCUCCACAAAAGUAGAAGCAACAGCUUUCUUGUCACGCUUGUGGACUGUUGGCAGCUGAAUUUCUUUGGAUGCUUGGGCAGUCAAGGAUACCACUUGAGAAAUAGGUGACACAUCAUCAACCAUCCUUCUAGAAAUUUUC
RNAcentral lists this unclassified non-coding RNA (326 nucleotides) under Hevea brasiliensis (rubber tree). Lineage: Eukaryota; Viridiplantae; Streptophyta; Magnoliopsida; Malpighiales; Euphorbiaceae. The record is from RNAcentral.